RNAcentral lists this ribosomal RNA (383 nucleotides) under Entomoneis sp. RNAcentral describes it as "partial small subunit ribosomal RNA". It matches the Rfam family "Eukaryotic small subunit ribosomal RNA", at positions 582 to 975 of the family's 1831-position model. Lineage: Eukaryota; Bacillariophyta; Bacillariophyceae; Surirellales; Surirellaceae. The record is from RNAcentral.
AUUCCAGCUCCAAUAGCGUAUAUUAAAGUUGUUGCAGUUAAAAAGCUCGUAGUUGGACUUGUGCGGUACCCUCGAUGUCCAUUCGUGGUACGUUCUGGGGGUCCGCAUCCUUGGGUGGAACCUGUGUGGCAUUAGGUUGUCGUGCAGGGGAUGCUCAUCGUUUACUGUGAAGAAAUUAGAGUGUUCAAAGCAGGCUUAUGCCGUUGAAUAUAUUAGCAUGGAAUAAUAAGAUAGGACCUUGGUACUAUUUUGUUGGUUUGCGCACCGAGGUAAUGAUUAACAGGGACAGUUGGGGGUAUUCGUAUUCCAUUGUCAGAGGUGAAAUUCUUGGAUUUCUGGAAGACGAACUACUGCGAAAGCAUUUACCAAGGAUGUUUUCAUCA